This is a long non-coding RNA of Cynocephalus volans (Philippine flying lemur), 1260 nucleotides long. RefSeq lists it as uncharacterized. NCBI's taxonomy places the organism in Eukaryota, Metazoa, Chordata, Mammalia, Dermoptera, Cynocephalidae. The record is from RefSeq and is a predicted model, not a curated record. The transcript has 3 exons.
GCCAGCCCGCGCUCUGCCUGUGGAGUGUGUAUUUCUUCCUUUUUGUAUCAGACUUACUCAGAAAGCAGCUGCUCAUUCUCCUGAGCCAGCCUGCAUUCUACUGAACUCUGAAGUCAAGAACCUGGUAAGAAGACGGGAUGGGUUGAGGCCAACAAUCGGGCCCCCCAGACCCUACCUCCGACAUCAGUAUUUGUAAAUCUCUGGUAAAACGACAAGUCUCUCAAACAACUCUUUAGGGUCAACAAACUAACCAGGAGCAAUGCGGACCAUCCAGAGAUGCCUGGGGCCUGUCAGCUGAAGUACCUGGAGCCCUGCCAGCAGCUCUGGGCCUCUCCCUUUUUGGAUUCCUGAUACUUAGUGUGCCCAUCAGAUUUUUCAUGCAUUGGUAUCGAUUAAAAUAGGAAAGCAGGGGAAUUGUCAGCUGGUGAACUCUUUUCGAGAAAUAAACUUUAAAAAUCAGUGACUGAUUGUCAUAGCUGGGAAGAGAAAUGAGAUGCUGAGAGUAAUGUUCAUUGUGGCCUUUCUCAUCAGUUCAAGUGAUAUUCUGGAUAAAAAUGCCCUUCCAAUAGGGCAUGAUUUGGGAAGGACAUGCUUCACUCAGUGGUUGCCACCCACAAGGUCCCUUGUAAGUGUACUCGGGGGCUAAUCCAUCUCUUCUCUGAAAGAACUCCAAUCUCUCUUCUGUGAGAAGUGAUUCAUCUCAAUGCACCCAGAACCCACAGAGUGAUACUGGACAAGUAACCUUCUAUGCUUCCAUCCCCUCUGUAAGGCAGGAAUCAGAGCUGCAGCCCUUGCCUCAUACCUGUUAUUUGACAACAGGUCUAAACUGCUUAGAACAUCACCUGGCAUAGAUAAGACCUAUGUAAACUUUUGUUAUUUAUCACCACUCUAUUUCAUACUAUAUUUCUCUAGUUUUCAAACUUAAUUAUACUAUAAUAACUUAUAUCUCUGAUAUAUCCCCAAAAGAUAAAUUCCAAUCAAGGUCUAUUUUCCCUCAUUUUUUAGGUCACAAAAAUUUAGCACAUUGUCUAGAAAAUAUUAGGCCCUGAAUAAACAUUUCUUUAAUGCUGCAUGGGUGAGUUAAUAGAAGAACAAAAGAAUAAAUUUUUAGCCAAAUCAUCAGGUUGAAUCUUUUCCUCUCAUAGUUACUCUUUCUAGUUUCCAGCUCUAGUUUCUAAUUUCACACUCUAAUUGGUUAUACAGUCUUUAAUAAACAUAUACAUUCAAUUAAAUUGGAACCAGCAAAGCUUACAAAGCUUC